RNAcentral lists this long non-coding RNA (1459 nucleotides) under Oryctolagus cuniculus (rabbit). Its description in RNAcentral is "lncRNA (ENSOCUG00000033771.1)". Lineage: Eukaryota; Metazoa; Chordata; Mammalia; Lagomorpha; Leporidae. The record is from RNAcentral.
CCCUAAAGAGCAAUUAGGCUUAAAAACUUUGAAUCCUGUUAUUCUAUCAAUGUGGAGCAUAGAACAUAGUUUAUAACACAUGGUUCCAACAAAUCUUACCAAAGUAUUUCCCCAGAAACUCCAGUGCCAAACAUUUACAACUUUCACCAAAUUAAUAAUCCUUAGCUUCUUUGAGAAAACAAUUAGAAAUGUGGAACUGAUUAACUUGCAAUAGUUUUUUUAUCAAAGGGACUUUAACAAAGGCUGAGUAUUUUCUCUUGGAGGGAAGACUUAAAAAAAAAAAAAGACACUGGAAGCAAAACAAAGGCUACAAAAAUCUGUAAUUGUGAGUGUUCUUUGAAACAUUGUAAUACUUCAUCAAAAGUUAAAGUUUAGUUAGGAUUGCCAUUUGCUAAACAUUAAAUCAUUCCUGAAGAGUUUUACAAACAAUAUAAAUGUUGAUUUUUUUUUCCCAAGGCAAAUACUUUUGGGCUAACCUAUCCCAGAUUCAAAUGGUUAAAGAAAGAAAGCAUGAGGCCCAUCCUUCUCUUUCAUAAAGGAGAACCACAUUCUUUCAUUACUGUAGAGUGAUCAUCUCAGAAUUAAGAGAAGAAGGCCAAGAGACUAGAAGAGGAGACAGGGUGGGUGGAGGAGGUGGGGGAUUUUCCUUUCUUCAGACCCUUGCAAUCACGGUUAUGGUUCUACAAAGCCUCAGUCACACCCAUGCACAGCAGUACUGUUUCCCUUUAACUCUGCAUUCAUCGUUUAUGUUAAAACAUUCCACAUAAAAAACUCUUUGUCAUACUUUUCCUUUCCAGUCCCUUCUGUUGUCUCCCGGAAGGAGGCUUUACUUUGCUGACAAGGUCACUGCCCUGCUGUGGUGAUUAACAGAAUGUGCAUCAUUCAAGCUCACCUAGGUUUUACUACAGUAGCUUUCAGUGAUGAAGGAAUAUUUUUCAGUCAGCAAGGAAGCUGCUUUGUCUCCUUGAACUAUAGUACCGAUAUCUCCAAGGGAUUAGAAAUUCUCUAAAAAGACUUCUGAAACAGGUAAAAAAUGUUUGUCUCCCUCUAAUCAAGAAAGAUCAAAGUUAGGCAUGGGAACAAGCCUAACUUUUUGAAAGACUCUUGUAAAUACCUUCAGAAGUGGAGCUCUUGGCAGCCUUAGUUCUGCUAGUCCACUUCCGAGCAGGUGCGAGCCACUUCAGAUUUCCUCUCACAGCUUCCUUUCCUGCCCUCUUUGUGGAUUCUCCUCUUGUUUGCCCACCUGUCAUGUUUCUUCUCAUUCAUAUCUUCACAAGCCGAGUCCUCUCCACUUGAUUCCAAAGCCACACUUCGGAGUUGAGUGAAGCAAGAAGGGUGCAAGCAUCACUGUCUGGAGCCAAUUACAUUUUGCUUCUUCAUCUCUGUCUAGAAGGAAUUUAUUAAAGCAAUUAGAAACAAAAUUAAUAAAUGAUGUUGUUGCCAGUUUCCUUGUUGUCUU